This is an RNA transcript of Triticum aestivum (bread wheat), 825 nucleotides long. It is a transcript of the gene named mavicyanin-like, with no coding region annotated. The record is from RefSeq and is a predicted model, not a curated record. NCBI's taxonomy places the organism in Eukaryota, Viridiplantae, Streptophyta, Magnoliopsida, Poales, Poaceae. The transcript has 2 exons.
GGAGAGAGCUGAGCAAUGGCGGCGUCCAAGGCGCUGAUGCUGGCGGUGGGCGUGGUGGUGGUGGCGGGGUGCGCGGUGGGGCUGUCGGGCGCGACCGCGGGUGGAACCCCAACAUCAACUACUCCAGCUGGUCCGCCAACCAGACCUUCUACGCCGGCGACCUCAUCUCGCUCCGGUACCAGAAGGGGACGCACAACGUGUUCAAGGUGAAAGAGACGGGGUACGACAACUGCACCAUGGACGGGGUCACCGGCAACUGGACCUCCGGCAAGGACUUCAUCCCGCUCCCGCGCCCCGGCCGCUACUUCUUCAUCUGCGGCAACGGCUUCUGCCAGUCCGGCAUGAAGGUCGCCAUCACCGUCGGCAUCUUCGAUCUCGGCCCAGAGAUCUACCCCCCGCCCGCCCCCGGCGCCGACAACCCAUCCACCUCCGCCUCUUUCACCGCAGGGGCGUGGCCGGCAGCGGCAGCGGUGGUCACCGCGCUGGGAGCUGCCCCAUCCUUGUCCUUUAGUUCCAAGGAGUAUCAUCUGCAGCGAUUGACCGAGACAUGGUCUCUAAUCUAGUCUAAUUGGGGGGCAUUUAGCUAGCUAGCUUUCCUGAUGUAAUGCAACCGCACCCGCAUUUCGAGUAUCAGUAGAAUGUACUCAUGAAUCACCACGCUAGUUGCAAUUCACCAAGAUAGAUCCAAAUCGCUGGAAGAAAAAAAAGCUCUGCAAUUUAUCCACAACCCAUAUCCACCAACCAAGAUGCUGCUAUGUAUAUUGGACAAAAGGCUACAAAAACAAACCCUAUGGGAAUUGUUGAAUAGAAUCCCUCUGUUAUAUA